This is a long non-coding RNA of Equus caballus (horse), 1911 nucleotides long. RefSeq lists it as uncharacterized. Lineage: Eukaryota; Metazoa; Chordata; Mammalia; Perissodactyla; Equidae. The record is from RefSeq and is a predicted model, not a curated record.
ACAACACAUGACAUGCAAAGCCUAAAAUCUGUACUAUCUGACUUUUUACAGAAAAAGUUUGCUGACUUUGUGCCAGAGUCAAAGAUGCUUGUCAGUCAACGAUGCUUCCCGAAACUGCCUUAAAAUUCACAUUCCUCCUUGCUGGGAUCCAAAGGCCAAAAGAGCUCUGAUGAAUAGAGAAGUUCAGGAUUGGAAGGAGGCGUUAGUGGGCAUCCAGAGCAAUUACUCAUUUGAGGCCAGCAUCUCCCAAGGGUACCUCCUCAAGAGAUCCUCUGGUGGUGGAGGCACAUCAUUUCCUGAAGCAGCCAACUCACCUUCUUUGGGAAGUUCUGGCUGUUGGAAAAUGACUUCUUACCCUGAGCUAAAAUCUGGUGGGCAGAAAAAAUUGUUCAAAUUUUAUUAUUCAUGGUCCCAUUUCCAGCCUUUGGAGGAAGAAGACUCCAUCACCAGCCAGGUGGGCCAUGCUGCCUGCCUUGUGUGGAGCAGCGUGAUGAGCGGGGAGGAGAUCUGCACAAGUUGGAGCACUCUGCGUGGGAAAAGGUGCUGGAUGCCCUAGAGAGAAAGAUCCUGAGAAGGAAUGCUGGAGGGGCAUGGCUGGACAGGGAUGCGGCGGGAGAGGAGCUGCAGAUGAAACUCAGGCUUUGGAAAGCAAAACAAACAAUCAAACAAAUAAAGAGAGAGCGGAUUAUGGACCUCCAUCAAUGGUGCCAAAGGAAAAAAAAAGCUAACAGGGGUGAGUGAGUGUUGGGUGAGUGUUUGUCUGUGUGCCUGACUGGCACAGUACCUGCCGUAGCUCCUUACAUCUUUACAACACCACGGAGAAGUGUGUGUCAUUAGAGCCAUUUUGCAAAGGAGGAGAUGAAAACUCAGAGGAGAGGAGCAACUUGCAACUUGCAACUUGUUUAUGUUGCUGCAAAAUGAUGAAAUUGGAAUUGGAAGCCAGACUGCAUUCAAAGCUGAAACAUUUCAAUAUUUUUUCCUUAUACCAUACUAAACAAGCGGAAGGCAGUGCCUCCCCUGCGGCUCUCUUUCUUUCCUCCUCACCUCCUGGUCUUUGUACCUGCUCUCUCACAAGUGUGCACCACCCUCUGCCCACUCCACACAGCGUCUAUAUAGAGAAGGAAGGAAGGAAGGGAAGCUGCCCCAAGAAGUCCCCAAUGUUCAGUGGACGCUGGUCUUUGUUGUACAUGGGCAGCGAUUCCUUUAGAAAAGGCAGCAACAUUGAACUGGGCAAGGUUGGAGAUUCCGCGAGCAGUGGACUUGGGGAGGUGCCAGGAAAAGCGCAGAGCUGUUUCCAAAUUGUUUUGGAGGAUUUUGUGCUUGUGUGUUUUUCUGAGUGUUCCUGUUUCUCAUCCUGGCUUUCUGGCAAUGCCUGCAGGUGAAGGUGCUGGUAAAGAUGCAGAAAAGGACACUUUGGAGCAUUGGAUGGACAAAGGACAGUAGGGAAGAUGUUUUACCCACAGUGAAGUACACGGGAAUGACCUCGGGUCGCAUGCAGCCUCUGUAUUAAAUAACAUCAACACAUAUUGGGAGAGAGUUGUGGCCCUUUUCAAUGCUGAGUAGAGCAAGGAGAAAAUCUCCUGUGGUGCAAGCAUGAUUUUAACACCUUUUAACACUUGCUCUGCUGCCAUUUCAACAGAGAGGGGCAAGCAGCAGGCAGGGGUCCUUGGGGCGUCAAUAGCACCCAGCUAGAAUUUUCUUAGGUUGUUUUGUUUUCUUUUAGUUAUAUUUCUAUCUUUGGCACGUGAUUUUGGUUUUCUGCUUAAGGUAGUGAUAAGGGGUCCCUUUUAAAUACAUGCGUUUAAGUAAAGAAAGUCAACUUAAAGAAGAAUAGUUGAGUAAAUAAUAAGAUUGGUGGUAUGUAGAUGUGGCAAAAAUGAUGAAAUGGCACUAAAAUGAUUGAAAUUUGGG